AGGGAUGACGGCCUUCGGGUUGUAAACCUCUUUCAGUAGGGAAGAAGCCGCAAGGUGACGGUACCUGCAGAAGAAGCGCCGGCUAACUACGUGCCAGCAGCCGCGGUAAUACGUAGGGCGCAAGCGUUAUCCGGAAUUAUUGGGCGUAAAGAGCUCGUAGGCGGUUUGUCGCGUCUGCCGUGAAAGUCCGGGGCUCAACUCCGGAUCUGCGGUGGGUACGGGCAGACUAGAGUGAUGUAGGGGAGACUGGAAUUCCUGGUGUAGCGGUGAAAUGCGCAGAUAUCAGGAGGAACACCGAUGGCGAAGGCAGGUCUCUGGGCAUUAACUGACGCUGAGGAGCGAAAGCAUGGGGAGCGAACAGGAUUAGAUACCCUGGUAGUCCAUGCCGUAAACGUUGGGCACUAGGUGUGGGGGACAUUCCACGUUUUC
This 429-nucleotide ribosomal RNA is filed under the name Arthrobacter sp. Its description in RNAcentral is "bacterial SSU rRNA". It matches the Rfam family "Bacterial small subunit ribosomal RNA", at positions 404 to 841 of the family's 1533-position model. Lineage: Bacteria; Bacillati; Actinomycetota; Actinomycetes; Micrococcales; Micrococcaceae. The record is from RNAcentral.